CUACCUCAGCAUUCCUACUUCCAAAUCGCGACACGUGUCGUGCAUUGAGACACCCUUUUUUGUUUUCGAUUUUCACUCUCGCAGCUUCUCUAAUUUUGUUUUUCCUGUUAUUAAAAUGUGAGGAUAUGUGGGCUUUCUGAUCAUUUUGGGCCUAACUUUUAAUUCCAAGGCCCCAUAGUUUUAGGGUUGGUCUUCAGGUUCCAUGUUGUCAACGUAGUCGCCUCCUUCCUCUUCCUCUUCGCUGAGUUCUGUAACGUUAGUUUUAAAACUAUUCAAUUCCAUCUUCAAUUUUUCAUUACGCUCCGCUCACCUCUCUUCCCUCUCUGCCAUUUAAUUUCAAUAAGAGCAGCUUCUGUAACUGAUCGAAGCUUCCCCUAUAAAUAAGGGUUUUUGGGGCAAUGGAGAUUUACACAGUUUUGAUUUUUUGCUUCUCUACAAAACAUCCGCGAGCCCUUUGAAAAUGGUGUCUUCCAUUAUGAAAAUAUGAAAAUAUACGCAGGUGAGAGUGAAUAUGGAUAAUGCCGUGAAGAGCCUCUAAAAGAAGAGACGGGUCCUCUGCAAAGAGAUAUUGUGAUCCCUAAGCGUUUUACCCCGUAACUUAUUGUCCGACAGGUUGCUGCAGAUGGUACUCACUCUGUAGUUUGACACGCGAAAGUUAUAUGUGGAGUUGGGGUCAUCCGUGACUUCUCCAUGACAUGUAUAGAUUAAAAUUAAAUGUUCGAUUUUGUUUUACUUUACUGUAGAAAACAAAUAUUUGUUCCAGUGUCAAGGUCAUGAAAAUUUCUGUUGAAGCAUUUUGUAAUGUGGCUCUUAAAGAAGAUGGAUAGGCUCUUGGCACAACCCCUCAUCCUGUCCCAGUCCGAGGCCUCAAUGAUCUCACUUGGGUGGAUGGUUGAAGAAGAGGAGAACACGAAAGACUCGGGUUAGGUGACAAUGACAAGAUCAGCAAAAUAGUUCCACAGAAAGUCAAUCUUAUCCCUGACGAAGAUAUCAUUCAGGUUGUAAAGCCUUAAACUUUAAUUAUCUUGAAUCUCUAAAAGAGGAUUACAUUCAUUUAAAGAUGCACUAAACUUUAAUGAUCAAUAAUCUUUUUACAAAUACGUUUCUUGCUUCUGAACACAUUCCGUUGCUUUGACAAGAGAACAAAAUCUUUUCGGUUGCUCCCUUGAAACCCAAGAAACCUGCUUUAAGGUUUUACUUCAUAAGAAAAGUCAUUUUACCAUGGCUAUUUGGGUGAUCAGUUUGGUAGAGGAGAUCAUGGAAGACUUGGUUAUAGAAGGAAUGUAACACUUGGACAGUUUGGUGGGCUCC
This is a long non-coding RNA of Raphanus sativus (radish), 1311 nucleotides long. RefSeq lists it as uncharacterized. The record is from RefSeq and is a predicted model, not a curated record. Lineage: Eukaryota; Viridiplantae; Streptophyta; Magnoliopsida; Brassicales; Brassicaceae. The transcript is spliced from 3 exons.